Molecule: long non-coding RNA, 242 nt
Organism: Mya arenaria
Lineage: Eukaryota; Metazoa; Mollusca; Bivalvia; Myida; Myidae
Exons: 3
Source: RefSeq, a predicted model, not a curated record
GGUAGAGUCUUUGUUUUUUGCUGAGUCACAUUGUUUUUGGAGAAGGUCGACGAGAGAGUUGGCUGGGUGUAGUCCCGCACUGGAUGUUUGAGUGAGAGAUAAGCGAGCCCAGAGGGUCGAGACAAGUACCAUUGAUGGCAACCAUUUAUGGUUUUCGUAUACCUUCAGUCGGGACCCAUUUAUAUAUAUAUAUGCAGAUUGACAUUGUGGUAUACUGUGUAUGUUACACCUAAAUAAAUAAG